Molecule: unclassified non-coding RNA, 482 nt
Filed under: Scopulariopsis brevicaulis (arsenic fungus)
Lineage: Eukaryota; Fungi; Ascomycota; Sordariomycetes; Microascales; Microascaceae
Description: sequence contains 18S rRNA gene, ITS1, 5.8S rRNA gene, ITS2, 28S rRNA gene
Rfam family: 5.8S ribosomal RNA (bases 200-353)
Source: RNAcentral
GAUCAUUACCGAAGUUACUCUUCAAAACCCAUUGUGAACCUUACCUCUUGCCGCGCGUUGCCUCGGCGGGGAGGCGGGGUCUGGGUCGGCGCGCCCCUCACCGGGCCGCCGUCCCCGUCCCCGUCCCCGCCGGCCGCGCCAAACUCUAAAUUUGAAAAAGCGUACUGCACGUUCUGAUUCAAAACAAAAAACAAGUCAAAACUUUUAACAACGGAUCUCUUGGUUCUGGCAUCGAUGAAGAACGCAGCGAAAUGCGAUAAGUAAUGUGAAUUGCAGAAUUCAGUGAAUCAUCGAAUCUUUGAACGCACAUUGCGCCCGGCAGCAAUCUGCCGGGCAUGCCUGUCCGAGCGUCAUUUCUUCCCUCGAGCGCGGCUAGCCCUACGGGGCCUGCCGUCGCCCGGUGUUGGGGCUCUACGGGUGGGGCUCGUCCCCCCCGCAGUCCCCGAAAUGUAGUGGCGGUCCAGCCGCGGCGCCCCCUGCGU